Molecule: ribosomal RNA, 253 nt
Filed under: uncultured bacterium
Lineage: Bacteria
Description: partial 16S ribosomal RNA
Rfam family: Bacterial small subunit ribosomal RNA
Source: RNAcentral
UACGGGGGGGGCAAGCGUUGUUCGGAAUUACUGGGCGUAAAGGGUUCGUAGGUGGCCAACUAAGCCAGACGUGAAAUCCCUCAGCUUAACUGGGGAACUGCGUCUGGGACUGGACGGCUUGAGUGCAGGAGAGGAACGCGGAAUUCCAGGUGUAGCGGUGAAAUGCGUAGAUAUCUGGAGGAACACCGGUGGCGAAGGCGGCGUUCUGGACUGCAACUGACACUGAGGAACGAAGGCCAGGGGAGCAAACGGG